This 131-nucleotide small RNA is filed under the name Kosakonia sp. HypNH10. Its description in RNAcentral is "RtT sRNA". It matches the Rfam family "RtT RNA". From Rfam's summary of the family: This family represents a bacterial cis-regulatory element known as RtT RNA. The exact function of RtT is unknown although it is thought that it may be involved in changing the cellular response in relation to amino acid starvation. The record is from RNAcentral. Lineage: Bacteria; Pseudomonadati; Pseudomonadota; Gammaproteobacteria; Enterobacterales; Enterobacteriaceae.
AUAUUCUCCAUUCGGGGAAGGAUGAGAAGCUUCGACUAAGGUUCGACUCGAGCAUCGCGAGAGAGCGUUGCCACAGGCAACGACCCGUAGGGCGAGGAGCGCAGCGACGAGUAAUCCUUCCCCCACCACCA